This 77-nucleotide microRNA precursor is filed under the name Clunio marinus. Its description in RNAcentral is "mir-137 microRNA precursor family". It matches the Rfam family "mir-137 microRNA precursor family". Lineage: Eukaryota; Metazoa; Arthropoda; Insecta; Diptera; Chironomidae. The record is from Rfam by way of RNAcentral.
GCUGGCCACGUGCAUUCUUGGGUAAUUAACACACAUUAUAAAUACAUUGUUAUUGCUUGAGAAUACACGUAGUUGAC